UACAGAGGGUGCAAGCGUUAAUCGGAAUUACUGGGCGUAAAGCGUGCGCAGGCGGUUUUGUAAGACAGGCGUGAAAUCCCCGGGCUCAACCUGGGAAUUGCGCUUGUGACUGCAAAGCUGGAGUGCGGCAGAGGGGGAUGGAAUUCCGCGUGUAGCAGUGAAAUGCGUAGAUAUGCGGAGGAACACCAAUGGCGAAGGCAAUCCCCUGGGCCUGUACUGACGCUCAUGCACGAAAGCGUGGGGAGCAAACAGG
Molecule: ribosomal RNA, 253 nt
Filed under: uncultured bacterium
Lineage: Bacteria
Description: partial 16S ribosomal RNA
Rfam family: Bacterial small subunit ribosomal RNA
Source: RNAcentral